This 506-nucleotide ribosomal RNA is filed under the name uncultured bacterium. RNAcentral's name for it is "bacterial SSU rRNA". It matches the Rfam family "Bacterial small subunit ribosomal RNA", at positions 899 to 1397 of the family's 1533-position model. The record is from RNAcentral.
ACUCAAAGGAAUAGACGGGGGCUCACACAAGCGGAGGAGCAUGUUGUUCAAUUCGAAGCAACGCGAAGAACCUUACCUGGGCUUGACAUGCGGGAAGUAGGGACCUGAAAGGGCGACGACCGGUAUCCAGUCCGGAACCCGCACAGGUGCUGCAUGGCUGUCGUCAGCUCGUGUCGUGAGACGUUAGGUUAAGUCCUGUAACGAGCGAAACCCUUGUCGUCUGUUGCCAACGGGUCAUGCCGGGAACUCUGGCGAGACUGCCGGUGUCAAACCGGAGGAAGGUGGGGACGACGUCAAGUCAUCAUGGCCUUUAUGCCCAGGGCCACAAACGUGCUACAAUGGCGGGUACAGAGAGACGCGAGGCCGCGAGGCGGAGCAAAUCUUCAAAACCCGCCCCAGUUCGGAUUGGAGGCUGCAAUUCGCCUCCAUGAAGUUGGAUUCGCUAGUAAUCGCGGAUCAGACACGCCGCGGUGAAUACGUUCCUGAGCCUUGUACACACCGCCCGU